Molecule: ribosomal RNA, 425 nt
Filed under: uncultured bacterium
Lineage: Bacteria
Description: bacterial SSU rRNA
Rfam family: Bacterial small subunit ribosomal RNA
Source: RNAcentral
AGGGAAUCUUCCGCAAUGGGCGAAAGCCUGACGGAGCAACGCCGCGUGAGUGAUGAAGGUCUUCGGAUCGUAAAACUCUGUUAUUAGGGAAGAACAAAUGUGUAAGUAACUAUGCACGUCUUGACGGUACCUAAUCAGAAAGCCACGGCUAACUACGUGCCAGCAGCCGCGGUAAUACGUAGGUGGCAAGCGUUAUCCGGAAUUAUUGGGCGUAAAGCGCGCGUAGGCGGUUUUUUAAGUCUGAUGUGAAAGCCCACGGCUCAACCGUGGAGGGUCAUUGGAAACUGGAAAACUUGAGUGCAGAAGAGGAAAGUGGAAUUCCAUGUGUAGCGGUGAAAUGCGCAGAGAUAUGGAGGAACACCAGUGGCGAAGGCGACUUUCUGGUCUGUAACUGACGCUGAUGUGCGAAAGCGUGGGGAUCAAAC